GUGGCGGAGGCAGUACCAGGUAAACCUCGUCUCCGCCCGGCCAAGGAUGCCACCAAUCACGUUCACAGACGAAGAUUUGAAGGGGAUAGACCCAACCCAGGACGACCCCAUGGUGAUAUCGGUCGACAUCGAUAAAUUUACGAUCAAAAAGACCCUUGUGGAUCAAGGGAGCUCGAUCGACAUAUUAUACUGGAAGACCUUCAAAGCUAUGAGAAUACCGGAGGAGGAAAUGAUGCCCUACAACGACCACGUGGUCGGCUUCUCGGGGGAACGCGUAGGAACGAGGGGCUACAUAGAGUUGUACACAACGUUCGACAUGGAAGGGGCCAGCAAAACCCUCAAGAUCAGAUAUCUGGUUAUAAACGCCAACACGUCCUACAACAUCCUCCUUGGAAGGUCGUCCCUCAACAAGCUGGGAGCGAUCGUCUCCACGCCCCACCUAGCAAUGAAAUUCCCUUCUCUCUCAGGCAACAUCCUGACCAUCCACGUAGAUCAAAAGGUCGACCGAGAGUGCUACGCCGAAAGCCUACGAGUCGAGCCUACACAACAGAGGCCCAGCGGCAGCCGUUCACCCAAGCGCAAGAUCGCCGGCCGGGGGAGAAGUCCCCGCCGGCACUCACCCCAACCAAAGAAGGGCAUCACCAUGGCAGACCUGGACCCCAGGGAAAUCGAGCCAAGACUCGAAGCCAAGGACGAGCUACGCCAAGCCGAACUUGACGGGGAGAACCGGUAUACGAGCAUAGGCACGACAAUGGCCACCGCCGAUGCGGACUUCGUUCACCAAACUCUCAAGAGGAACAUAGACCUCUUUGCCUGGACGACUGCCGACGUACCGGGCGUCCAUCCGGACAUCAUCACCCAUCGCCUUUCGGUGUAUAAAGAAGUCCGCCCGGUAGCACAAAAGAAAAGAAACCGUGGGGAGGAAAAGCGACUGGCCGCACGAAGUGAGGCCGAGAAGCUCCUAAAAGCCGGCUUUAUAGCCGAGGCACGAUACUCCACUUGGCUGGCCAACGUCGUGAUGGUCAAAAAGUCAAGCGGCAAAUGGCGGAUGUGCGUAGAUUAUAAAGAUCUCAACAAGGCAUGCCCCAAGGACUCAUAUCCCCUUCCUAACAUUGAUCGGCUCGUAGACGGAGCGACCGGUCACAAAAUAUUGAGUUUCUUAGACGCCUACUCCGGUUACAACCAGAUCAGCAUGCAUCAUAGCGAUAGAGGUAAAACGGCUUUCACGACGGACGUCGCAAACUACUUUUACAAGGUAAUGUCGUUCGGCCUAAAGAACGCCGGGGCUACCUACUAGAGGCUCAUGGACAAGAUUUUCAAAGGGAUGAUCGGCAGAAGCGUAGAGGUGUACGUGGACGACAUUGUGGUGAAGUCCGACUCGUGCGGCCAGCACAUCAAAGACCUACAAGAAGUUUUCGACGCCCUUAGAAGGGUCAACAUGCGCCUUAACCCCGAGAAGUGUGCGUUCGGCGUUGAAGGUGGCAAGUUCCUCGGCUUUAUGCUGACCCACAGAGGGAUCGAGGCGAACCCCGACAAGUGCAAGGCCAUAACAAAAAUGAGAAGCCCGAAAAACUUGAAAGAAAUUCAACAGCUGCUCGGCCGGCUGACAGCACUUUCCAGAUUCAUACCCCGCCUCGCUGAACGGAUCAGGCCGAUAGCCACCAUGCUUCGCAAAACCUCGAAGUUCAGUUGGAACGAGGAGUGCGAACAAAUCUUCGGCCAGCUCAAAGAAUUCCUGUCUUCCCCGGUCGUCAUCAAAAAGCCCCGUCUAGACCUACCUAUAGUGGUCUACCUAGCGGUGUUAGAGGAAGCGGUCAGCGCCGCCCUCGUCCAAGAAGUGGACCGCGAAGAGCACCCGGUGUACUUUGUCAGCCGGACGCUCCAUGCAGCCGAGACCAGGUACCAAAUGAUAGAGAAAGUGGCACUAGCCUUGGUGCUGACAGCGAGGAGAAUGCACCCGUACUUCCAGAACCACGAAAUCAGGGUAAGGACCAAUUAUCCUAUAUACAAAAUUUUAUCUAAACCCGACCUUGCAGGACGGAUGAUAGGGUGGUCGGUCGAACUUUCAGAGUUCGACAUCAAGUACGAACCAAGGGGUGCCAUUAAAUCCCAAUGCUUGGCAGAUUUCGCAGCCGAGCUCCCCAGAAACACAGAAACCUCGGCCAGGUGGGUCCUCUACGUGGACGGCUCGUCCAACAAAACGGUUUGUGGAGCCGGGGUCGUCCUCGAGGGGCCUGGGGACGUACUGAUCGAACAAGCCCUCCAGUUCUCUUUCAAAGUAACGAACAACCAGGCGGAAUACGAGGCCAUACUGGCCGGCCUCAACCUAGCAAAUGACCUGGGCGCGUGGGAGGUCGCAUGCAAGAACGAUUCCCAACUGGUCAAGGUCAAAUCAAAGGAGAAUUCGAGGUCAAGGAGCCCCUCCUCCAACGAUAUUACCACACCUUCCGUAACGUCAUGGCCAAAUUCGACACGGUGGCGGUCCAGCACAUACCACGGGAGGAAAACGAGUGUGCCGAUGCACUCUCACGCCUGGCAUCUUCGAAAAAACAAAGCCACCACAGAUCGGUCGUCCAGGUGCGACUAGCACAGCCGAGCGUAGGUGACGCCGAAUGCAUGACAAUCACCGAGACCCACACAUGGAUGACCCCGAUCACCCAGUACUUGGAGCACGGAACAUGCCAACUGGGGGAAGAGAAGAACAUCAGACGGUAGUGCGCCCGGUACACCAUGAUCGGCCAGGACCUGUAUCGAAGGGGGUACUCAACGCCACUCCUAAAGUGCCUCACCAAGGAACAAUCCCAAUACGUGCUACAAGAAAUCCACGAAGGGGCGUGCGGGAGCCACUCCGGAGCACGAACGAUGGCGGCCAAGAUAGUCCGCGCAGGAUACUACUGGCCGACCGUCCAUGGAGAUAGCGCUGAUUACGUUAAGAAAUGCCAAAAAUGCCAAGAGUUUGGCCCCCUCCACCACCGAAAACUAGAAGAACUGCACAGCAUGACAUCACCCUGGCCGUUCGCCAUUUGGGGGAUGGACAUCAUCGGCCCGUUCUCACCAGGCAAAGGCAAAACGAAACACCUGCUUGUCGUGGUAGACUACUUCACCAAAUGGAUCGAGGCCGAACCACUAGCCACAAUCACCGCCCGAAACGUCCAAAAUUUCGUGUGAAAAAACAUAGUGUGCCGAUUCGGCAUACCACACUCGACAGUCUCCGAUAACGGCCGACAAUUCAUCGACCAAGGCCUUCUGACUUUCUAGAACGACUUCGGUAUCAAAUCCCUCACAAGCUCCGUUGAGCACCCACAGACGAACGGACAAGCCGAAGCGGCCAACAAGGUUUUAUUGAACGAACUAAGGAAGAGGCUCGACACUGCCAAGGGAAGAUGGACGGAGGAGCUGCCCGAGGUCUUGUGGGCAUACCGCUGCACUCCGCAAUCCACCACACAAGAAACCCCCUAUAGCCUCACGUACGGCACCGAGGCCAUGAUACCAGUAGAGGUCGGGGAACCAUCCAUCCGACGCCAACUCUUCGACGUAUCCCUCAACAAGGAAAGUCUGGCGGUCAGCCUCGACCUCUUGAACGAGCUCCGGGAUAAAAGCAAGAUACGCGAAGCGGCAUGCAAGCUCCGAGCGGCAAGGAGAUACAACUCAAAGGUCCAGCCUAGAAGCUUUCAACAAGGCGACCUCGUCUGGAGAAUGCGCAGCAACGCUAGGAAGUCGGACGGCAAGUUCUCAUCAAAUUGGGAAGGACCAUUCUGAAUCCGAGAAGUAGGAAAAGGGGGAGCUUAUCACUUGGAACAUCUAUCGGGAAAAAUUGUACCUAGGACGUGGAAUGCCACGCACCUAAAAUUUUAUUUCAGCUAAACAUGAAUAAAAUAUACGCACUCUUUCCUCGACCGGCCGAUCCAUCGGUCGGAGAGGUUUUAACGAGGCGUUCCGUACAUAAGUGUGUAUAACAAAUGACAUGAACGGCUCGGCCAGGAUGUAGCCCUAACCGGCAUACCCUCCCGAAACCCACACGGUUCGGCCAGGAUGUAGUCUUAACCGGCAUACCCUCCCGAAACCCGUACCCAUCUCAGUCAGGCUGUAGCCCUAACCGGCAUACCCUUCCGAAACCUACACGAUUCGGCCAGGAUGUAGCCCUAACCCGCAUACCCUCCCGUAACACACACGGUUUGGCCAGGAUGUAGCCUCAACCGGCAUACCCUCCCGAACCCGUACACAUUUCGGCCAGGAUGCAGCCUUAACCAGCAUACCCUCCGGGCACACACCUAACGUUCGGCAAGAACCAAAACUCGCCUAAACAGCAAAACUCGUCUAAAUCGAAUUCGCCAAAGAAUGACCGACUGAUCGAAGUCCGUUACAUUCACUUGAUUGAUUUUAAUUAGAACAAGUCACUCACUUGAUUUCAUCUACCCACCGGUCACUUAGUCCUUUUUAUUUAGUUAACUUUACCGCAAUUUAAGGUUAAUUAUUCCAGCCCACUCGACUCGCAAAGGCUCGUUCGUCCAGAAAAUGCAGAAACAAUUGAAAGAAAAAACUUAUAUUAAUUGAAAAUAAGUGGGGGCCACCCCGGCCCCAGGGGUCCAAAAUUAAAAGCUGACCGCCUAGUCUACAAUAUUCAAAACCUCAUUAGAGGGAUCAGCUUCAACUUCUUCACCAGGAGGGCCGGCCGCUGCAGGGACCAAACGACCAUCCACAACUUCCAUGUCUUGGUCAAAUGGACCAGAAGGAGGUGGACCGCCGUAGAGCACCUCGGCCUGUCGAACGGCAAGAUCGAAGCUCUGACCAAUAAGCACCAUGGUGUCCUCCAUGGUCUUCAAAACUUCAGCCUCCGCCGCCCUCUUGGCCUCGCGCUCGGCCGCAGCUUCCUCUUCCAUCAAGGUAGCCCGACGGUCGGCCGCCUCCAAUGCCUUGCGAAGGAGAAUAACCUCCGCGACUUUGUUGGCGUCGGCCUUCUCCAGCUCGGCCGCUUGCGCACACAACUUCUUUUCAUAAGUCGUGUUGGCCUCCACAGCCUACUUUAGGUUGUGCCCGGCCUCCUGGAGAACGUGCUCGAGGCGCGAUAUGUCCUCGACCCGGCUUCUCCGAGCGUCGGCCCCCCGACGGGCCAAAAAUAGACCCCGACAAAUCAUCUCGAUGCUGCCGUCAAGAAGGUCGUCAUCGGGGACCGACCGGAUCUCCCACUCGAUGUUGGAGGGCAGCUUGAAGCUCACAGCCCGUGAGAAUGACGGGUCGUCUCCGACCAACGCAAGCGUUGAUCCGCCCGAAGAGGCCAAGGGCACCGCCACCCCCGUAGGAAUAGGACGGUUGAACUCGUCAGUAGGGGGAAGUUAGCCUAGCUGACCGCGCUAGAGGAGGAGUUGGCAUCUGCCCCGCCGCCCGAACGGUUCGGGCGAUAUUGCCGCCCUCGCGGCCACGUUUCUUGGAAGGGCCCGCCCGAGCACCCUCUUCCGCCCGGGGCUUGGCACUGGUGGCCCCCCUCUUCUCGUUCAGCUUGUUCUUGAACGAGUGCAACAUCCCAACAGCUUGGGGGAUUUCUCUCUUCGCGAUUUCUACAAACCAAACAAGAAAUGGUCGGUCAGAGCAAAGCGCAAAAUGUAAUAAACUAAGUGCAUGAAAAGAGCAUACCCUCGAAAGCCUCCGCGCGAUCGAUCGCAUUGUACAACGACAUGAGCGGUCGGGCGGGGAGCUUCCUGGGGAGACUAUCAAAUAAAGCAAAAACGAGCCGCUCAUGCUCGCUCGGAUGUGCCGGCCUCGGCCAAUCCGUUAUCUUCGUCGGACUCCUCGACCAAAAAAGAGGGAAACGAGACUGGCCGACUUCCUCAAAAAAAUAACGUGUUCCGGCCGGCUCCACGUACACUUUAAAGAACUUCUCUUUGAAGUUCUUAUAAGAGGCUGUGAAGGGCUUGAACAACACGCUACCCGCCCGGCUGACCAGCGAUUGCCAACUGGCAAGCUUGGCCGGGUACGACGAAUAGAAGUGAAGAAAACAGGAGGGAAGAGGGCGCAACCCAAACGUCCGGCAAACAAUGUGGAACGCUUGCAUAGACGCCCACGAAUUGGGAUGAAGCUGAGUCGGAGCCACGUUGAGCUCCUUCAAAACCCCGGCCGUAAAGGCAUCAAAGGGGAGAGACACAUGCAGGUCCGCAAAAAGACAACCAUACAUGAAGAAAAAGGGAGGCUCGGUAGAUGAUCGCUCCCUGUACACACGAUCCUCCAAAGAACAAGGACCGAACGCCAACAAGGAUUCCUCAGCCGAAGCCUUCAAGACAGAAACCCCGUCCAGAAACUCAGCAACGGAGACAUCGGUGUAAAAGGCAGACGACACCUCACACAACCGGGGAUCAACCCAGGCCGGCCCCUCGAAGGGGGCCGAUUGGUCCGACGCGUUACCAACGUCUUCUCUCACCAAUGUCGGGGAAUGGACACAAUCCACGUCCCCGACCGGGGAAGCCUGACCGGACGAAGAAGAAGAAGAAGAAGAAGAAGACGAAGAAGAAGAAGACGAAGAAGACGAAGAAAACGACGAGCAAGCAGGGGGGGACUCGGAAAGAGCAGACAUAACUAACCUUGAGACGGACGAAGAAGGCAACAGAGAUCGGUCGGAUUGAUUCGAGGUGUCGGAGCUCAAACAAAGAUAACGCGUGGAACUCUACUAUUCCCAGCCCCUAUUUAUAGCCCGAGAGGACCUCGGAAUCCCAAACGUCGCAAGAACCUCAACCAUUGGAUUCGUUUGAUCCAACGGUUCGCAUCGCUUCGCACCCAGAAAAACCCCUCAUUAAUGCGCGUCACGUCAAUCGCUCAGGCGCCCCCAAACAUCACUUCAUUCAUCAUUACACAGUCCGCCCGAGACCCACUCUUCAGACUCUUCAGACUCUUCGGCUGUACCACCUCUCGAGCCUGGGAGGCAACUGUACCGGGAUGACCGACCGGUUUAUUGACCCGGUCAACCCAUGCGUCAAGACCAUACUUUAAGGUACGAGGUCGACCACGUGUCAUACGUGGCCGACCGACAUAAGGUGCUCUAGUCAAACCGUUGACCCAAUUAGCAAAGGUCAACCCACGGUUAGGGAACGACUUAAUCCAACCCUAAUCGCUAAACAACCCCCUAAUCCGGCCCAACAGCGAGGGCCCAUCAAGGUAAUAUAAAUAUCACGCAUUCCAAGGAUUAAGGUACGUCAUUAUCUACAGUAUUCUAACCAGCCGAAUACGAUACCCCACUUACUUGAGCGUUGGAGUGCCAUUUGCAGGUACCCCACUCGCUUGAGGAGUCAUUCAGCGUGAAGGACCGAAGGAGGAAGUGAAGCACGACCGACCGAGUGACAUCCAAAGACAAUAGUUCUCCCAAUCCCCAACCUAGUUCGAGAACACUUUCUUUAUUGUAUUUUCACUCAUGUUUGCUUAUACUUCAGAACUUAGUUUGAUUCUUUGUUUUGCAAUUGUGUUUUACGUACAUAAAUUGAUAUGAUUGAGACAUUCUUUGUUAACCCUCAUGAUAAUCCACUUGUUACCCUUUUGAUCCUCAUUAGUAGAAAAUACGCAAUUUACUACUCCCUAUAAAGUGUUCUUAAAGAAUAGCCGUAAUAAGAGAGGCGAUGACAAUUUUCAUAAUUUUUUUCAAAUUUCAGUGUUUUUAACAACGGUUCAGGCAAGAACUGUCGUUAAUUGUGGAAUAGUGUGGAAAUAAAGACGGUUUUGUACAGAAUCAUCGUUGAUUAGUUGUUCAAGAAAAAAAAAAAAUAAAGCCCGCGUGCACACCUUUCUCUUUCCCUCACUCAUUUUCACUCUCUCAUUUUCGCACAACAUUCUCUCCUCACUCAUUUGCACUCACACUCCUCACCCACAGUCACCCUUAGCUGCGACACCUCCUCCCACCGCGCUGCCACGAGCAGUCUCCGCUCCUCCAGACCACAGCUUCUGCUGCGAUCACGAGCUCUGUCGCAGGUCCCACCGCGACCACGAGCUCCGUUCCAGCUCCCGCAACGACCCUUCCUUGCUCCGUUAGUCUCCUCCGCCACACCAGCCACCAUGGCCAAUACGAAGCAGAUUCGUUCAACUUCCACAUUCGCCACCAGCCUCCUUCGCGUGCCGCACCAACCAACUUCUUCCACCACACCAGCCACCGUGCUUCUAAAAUAGAAAAUUCAUGUUUGUUCAUACCUUAGAAGAUAAAAUAGAUUUGAAAUUAUUUUGGGAAUAGGUUCUUGAAUAUGUGUGCGGGGUGUACUUCAUUUUUCUUACCUUAGCUCCUCAUAUAUCAACUCAUUACUAAAGAAUAAUAGAAAAAGAAAGAAAUAAAAUAACAAAAAUAAAAGAAAAUAACAAAAGCGUAGACUGUCUUCUCCAUGAAAAAACAAUAAAAGAAUAUGUCUUGAAAUAAAAAAGAGAAGUUGAAUUGUAAAAUUGCUUACACUUAUUUUUUGGAUUUAUUUUCUUUGUUUUUCUAUGGUUUUAAGUCUCUUUUUCCCAUUUUACCUACCUUUAUCUUGAUCCCAUUACAUCCCUUAUGAACUCAUUUUGAUAUCUCAUUGCAUGUUUUUCAAUUGUUGUAAAUAGUGGAGUCAUGCUAAUAUGGUAGUGUUUGCUUAGUGUAAAUACCAACCUAAACACUUGAGAGUUGGAGAGUGUCUAGUGAAAGUUUUGUCAUUUUUUAUUCACUCUUUGAUUUUAGUUACCUGUUUGUGUUAAAAUAUAGGAAUUUCCAUUCAUAUUUUUCUUGAUUCUUUGAAUUCUUGAAAUUAUAUCAUAAUUGUUAUUAUGCGUUCUUAGAAUAUGUUGUAAUUUUCUUUUUUUUUGUUUGCACUUAUUACGAAGUGGACUUUAAGUCUAACUCAACCCCAUAAAAUCGUCUCAUGAGGUUGAGGUUUGCACCCACUUAUAUACAAUGAAAGACUCUAAUCUCUAGUCGAUGUGGGAUCUCCAACACCCCCCCCCUCACGUCGAGACUGCCAACUCGUGCGUGAGACUAUAUAUUAUGGGUGGUCCGAUAGCGGCUCGAUAGCGGGUGGCUGGAUAAGUCCAACAAAUACUCGCUAGGAUAGGCUCAAAAUGGUUUUGAUACCAUAUUACGAAGUGGACUUUAAACUUAAUUCAACCCAAUAAAACUGGCUCAUGAGGUUGAGGUUUGCACCUACUUAUAUACAAUGAAAGACUCUAAUCUCUAGUCGAUGUGGGAUCUCCAACAACACUGUAUUCCUUUGAUCGAUUGUUAGUCUAUAGAGUGUUUUGUCCAAGAGUGCAAAAGGACAAGUGUGAGGGUAUUUGAUGAGCAUAAUUUUACUCACUUGUAACAUUUAAUCAUAUUUUUCUUUGAUUAAAAUCAUGAGUAUUAGGGUUUGAGAGUGUGAGUUUCAAAGAGAGGGGAAAGCGGAGUGAAAGAGAAAAAUGAAAACUUUAAAAAGCAUUAUUAUGUGACAUGUUUUCAUUGGUCCACGUGUUGUGUGUUGAUUGGUGCACAUUUUGCUAAUUUGGAUAUUAAACAUUUGAAUUUUUUUGAAAAAAAAAACUUGUAUUAUUUAUAGAUAUAGAUUUUUAUCUAUAAUUCUAUUUGGUCUGAAAAGUCAUCAAAUCUUAAUUUUUUAUAUGAUUCAAAUGAGAUUUGUUUGAGUACAUAAGAUAAAUAAUGAAUGCUUGGAGAAGAGAGUGAUAUAUAGGUGGAAUGUUUGACUCUGCUAUGAAAUUUGUACUUUAAUCUUGUAUUUAUUUAAAUAUUAUAUAGUAUAAAUAUAUUCAUUGUCUAAAAAAUAAAUAUUUAUUUUAUGAGUUUUUUUCUUAUCUACAAAUAUAUUAAAAAUAAAAUGUUCGGUGCAAUACAUUUAUUGGAGCGAGAGAAAACUUUCUAAAAACCCUGUUACAAAUUAUAUGAAGUUUUGGUAUUUUUAAUUUAUCUCAUAACGCAAGGUUAAUUUUUUAAGUUGUUUUCACUAAAUAAUUGUUUUUAAAACCAUUUUAGUAUAAUUAAACGAAUGCAUAAAAUAAGUACGACGUACUUACAGAGAAUAUGUUAUUUUAGUACAAAUGUAUUAAAAAUUAUACAUACCUAUGAGAGAGAGCUUUUUUUUUUCUUAUCAGCAAAUAUUAUAAUUCACUUUAGGAUAAUAAUAAUGAUACAAGACGUUUAUUAUUUCAUAAAUUUAUUUUUAUUUAAACUUGUAUCAUUAUUGAUGUUCAUAGAAAGGCAAACAUGAUGCAUCCAUAAUUACCGAAUCUGGAAAUGAUUAAGUGCAGGCAGGAAGAGGAGAACCACACAAGCACUUGUUGUUGGCAUAAGCAGAAACGUCAAAUCUUUGCAAGUUCCCACCUUGAGGAAUCUCACCGCACAGAUUGUUGAAGCUCACAUUUAAACUGUGCAGAAACUUUAGCUGCGUCAGUCCCUGCGGUAGCGUCCCAUAGAUACGGUUGUUCCUCAGAUCCAACCCGUUCAAGUUCUUUGACAACCCCACUUUCCCCAAAUCAAAGGCAAGAGAGUUCUUCGCCAGAUGUAUCUUCUGCGUGUUCUUAUCUGAUCCGAACAACACCGACGCGUCACCCUCCAGCAUGUUUCGAGACAAGUCAACGAACGCCAGGUUCAGAUUCGCAAACGUCGGCGGAAUCUUCCCGGUGAGGCGGUUGCGGGAGAUGGUCAUCGACGUGAACAGCUUCGAAAAUGAGCCGUAGGAGUCGGGGAUGGCGCCGGAGAUUCGGUUGCCGUCGAAUGUGAUUCCGACGAGGUUGGGGAGAGAAGAGAUGGAGGGAGGUAGGGUGCCGGAGAGGGCGUUGUAGGAGAAGUCGAGGGUGACGAGGGUUUUGAUCUGUGACAAGAAAUCGGGUAUUGCGCCGGAGACAUUGGUGUGGGUGAUAUAGAGAUAGUGGAGUUGGGUGAGUUUAGCGAUGGCGGGGGGGAUUGGACCGACGAGGUUAUUGAUGCCACCAAUGUAUAGAAAAUUGAGGUAGGGGAGGUUGGCGAGGGAGGAAGGGAUAGGGUAGGGUUUUGGGAGGUUAAGGCCGGAGAGGUCGAGGUUGUUGACGCGAUAUGUUUGGGUGUCGGUGUCGCAUAAAACACCUAGCCAGGUUCUGUUGCAACAGUCGGUGGUUGGAAGCCAUGAGGAGAGAGUGGUUGGGUUGCCAAGGUCUUUCUUGAUUUGGAGAAGGGCUUGCUUGUCUUGUGGGUUGCAUAGCUCUGAGUGUGCAGUGCUCAAAGAUACAAGAAUGACCAAAAUUAUGCUUAAGCUUGAGGACAUGGUUGCUGGGAUAUUGAAUUGAGUGAUAAAAAUGGAUGAUAAUGUGAGAUGUUAUAUCCUUCAAGCUGCUAUAUUUGACUUAUAGGAGUCAAUAAAGCCAGUGCAAGUGUUCAGGAAGGUCACGCUCACGCAUGUACGCACCAUUGGAUUGAGGUUUUUUUCUUUAAAUUGAUAGGUUGAAAACUCCUUGUAUACAAAAUCUAUUUGUAUACAAAAGCUUUUUAUACCGAUGGAUUUAAAAAUAAAUAUAUAUAAUAAAAUGUGAAUUUUAAUUAAAUAAUAUAAAAAAUAUUAAAAUAAUUGGAAGUUGGGGGUGGUUAUAUGAUUUUAUAAAUUUUUUUAUUUAUCCAAUUACUUUUUUUUCCUAAUAUAACAAUUUUCGUCACCCUAAACAAGGAAGGACCAAUCUUGAUAUAUAAAGUGUCGGCAUAAUUAACCAAAUAGAAAGUACAUAUUUAUUUUUCAAAAUCCUUUUUAAUAAAUUAAUAAAAGCAAACAAUUAUUUUUAAAAUUAAGUUAAUGUUAACUAAGUUUAACUCUUAUGUUUCUAACUUAGACAUAUUUUGUAGUUAAUUCGAAGAAGUAAAGUGAAAUUAAUAGCGUUUGAAAAUAUAAUGAAUUCAAAACAUAAUAUAGAUGAAAACUAAGAAAUAGAAAUAUUUAUGUAUAUUCAAUGUAUUUAAUUAAUAUUCAUUUCAUCUUGUUAAUUUUAAUUCUAAAUGUCAACAGAUUGACUUAUUGAAUGCGUCAUUGUGAGCGUCAAUGAUAACAUCUCCAAUGUUAGGUCUGAGAUGACACAAUAAGUAAUGAUAGAAACUGAAAUGAAUGCAGCGUGCAUCAGGCAAGGUGAAAUUUGGUUGAAAUGCCGUUUAGGUGUAAAUACCAACGUAAACGAGUUGGGGAGAGAGUUUGUCAUUUUUUAUUUCCUCUUUGAUUUUACUUACUUGUGUUAAAAUAUAGAAAUUUCGACUCACAAUUUUUUUAUUCUUUUGAUUUUUUGAAAUUAUAUCAUAAUUUUUAUUAAGCGUUCUUAGUAUCAGCUGUAAUUUUAUUUUUCUGUCGUUUGCAUUGUAUUUUUUAUCCAUGGUUAGUUUAUAAAGUGUUUUGUCCAAGAGUGCAAAAUGAUAAGUGUGAGAAUAUUUGAUGAGCAUAAUUUUACUCUCUCUUGUAACAUUUAAUCAUAUUUGUCUUGGAUUAAAAUCAUGUAUAAAUUCAUUGUUUUAAAUAGGAUUCAUGUAACUAGAUUUAUUUGGAUUUUAACUAUUAUUUAUCCCACUCAUGUGUUUUAGUUAGAGUAAACAUUUUGGUAGACGAUUUGAAGGAAAUGUUUGCCGCUAGGAGUGGGUCUAAUCAAGCGAAAGUUCAAGUUGUUUAUCUAAAUCAAAACAAGAAAUGAAAUUUGAGUAGAAGAAUUAGAGAAUAAAAUCUAUAAUAUUUUAAAAACAAAUUUGGAAGCAACUCUUCUGCAAAAAUAUGAAGAAACUGAGUUUGAGAUAAAAUUGGAAACAAAAUCCAAGAAUUCUGAUGAGUUGAAAAUUGAGAAACUUUUAACAAUAUAUGAACCGAAAAAUUAUUUCAAUAUCCUUGGAGAUACCUAUAAAAAGAUGCAAGCUUCAAUGAGAUAUCAUCCGUUUGAGAAACAAAGCAUUAGUGUUUUAUUAGUUUUUUAUUUUCUUAUUUGUAAUCUUUUCGUUUCACCUCCGCAUGGAAGAUUAAACUCCUUUGGAUUGAUUCUUUUGUGAUUUGCAAAAAAAUCUAAGGUUUUUUUUAAUAAAGUUUUAUUCUUAAAUUCUCUGUAGCGAUUUGUGUUAAAAAAUAUGAUAUUUUUGAAUUUUGGUUUUGUUAAGAAAUUGUUUUAAAUGCUUCUUAAGAGUUCAAAUUUUUUUCUUUAAUUGAAUUUCUUGGUUAGUUUUCUAAAUUAUAAUCAAUCUCUUGUUUGCUUAAUUCAAGAGGUAGAAGAUAAACAUUUCACGAGUAAAUACUUGGAGACGAGUGAGAUACUGAACAACUUAGUAAACAUUUGUUCUAUUGAUAAGAUUAUAUUAAAUUUGAUUAACGCUUAUUUGAUUAAGUUCGACAUUUGUCUGAGAAUUGAAAGAACUAAAAUCUUAAGAUAAUCAAUAAUGAAUUCACAAAUGAAUGAUCUUGAGAGUUAACCUACCUUCUUUACUGUUUUAAAAUCAUAUAUUGAUUGACUUCAUAUAUAAUGAUCUCAACCUUCUUCUAUCUUUACUAUUAUUUCUAAGCUUUAUUGAUUGCAAAAUAAGUUUUGAAUAUUGAUUGACUGGAUUUACUAUUAGAUUCGUUGAGAGAUGAUUUGGGAUCAUCUGACCUCAUUCAUACUAUCAUCUCUUUAGUGUUAGACCAUCUAACACUAUGUAAGAUAGUCUACAUUAAAAUCAUUUUAUUUUUAUUAUGAAAAUGACAACAAUCAAAUAUACAAGAUAUUGUCGGAUUUAUUUAUUUAAAUCAAAUAUUGUGGUUGUUAGUAUAUUUUUGGAAAGAUAAAACAUUGGUGGAGACUCAAAGUAGUUACAAGUUGUAAAUAAUAAGAUCUAAGAGUGAAAAGAAAUACACAAAUGAUGUUUUUGAUAAAUUUUGGAAAGAAGUUGAAACCAAACAUUAACUUACGAUGAUUUUCAGUCUACAACAAAAUGGUGAGAGAAAAAAAAAAUAGAAGUAUCAUGAAAGGUGUAUGCUAUAUGAGAAAGAUUUGUGAAACAAGUUAUGGAGCAUUAUUGUACUUUUGUUGUUGAAUUGGUUGUCAAUCAGGUUCGAAAAAAAACUUCAUUUGAAGUUGGGUAUAGAUUAAAUUUACAAAAUUUGUUAUGUUUAUUUAUGUUAUGUUUCAAAGGUUAAAAGGGAAAAACUUGACAAGAAGAUUGAACCUAAAGUUUUAAUUGGACACGACAACACUUUCAAAGCUUAGAAAAAUUUUCAACCAUAAAAUGAAAAAUUCUAGUGAAAAAAAUGUAAAAUUCAUGAAAAAUUAACAAUGAAGUUGGGAGAAACCCAUAAGCAAGCAAUUUUCAAAAAACCCACAUAAUUUGAAUAAAGUAAGAAAGAUGACAAGUGGAUAAAUGCUCUAAAGGAAGAGCUAAAGAUGAUUGAAAAAAAAAAUAUCACAUGAAAACUAGUGCAGAUACCUUAUAAUAGAAGAAACUUAUAGGAGUUAAAUGAGUCAUAGAACAAACUUAAUUUACACAAUUCUAUAAAUAAAUACAAGGAUGCAAAAAGAUAUCCUGUGUAUUUUUAAAAAGUAUUUACUCCAUUAGGUUCGACAGAUUUUUUUUAUUUCUCAUUUCUCUAGUAAGGAUGAUCUUCUUUCUUUUAUUAAGAGUGACGGUAGUCCUUUGGUUAAAUUGAUUAAGCUUGUUCUGACAAUCUUUUCUAUAUGGAUGAUAUGGCAUAUGAGAAAUUAUGCUAGAUUUCAGGAUAAGAUUGAGGUUUCUAAGGCUAUUUUGAUAAUUAAAGAUUUAACUUGUCUAGUGGGAAAUUCGUCUAAAGCUUCAAUGAAGAAUGAUAUGUUGGAUUUCAACGUGAUUAAGUUUUUUGGUAUUAAGACUCAUAGUGGGAAAGUUUUUCGUCCUCUUCCUGUUAGAUGUAAAUUUUCUUCAUCAGGCAGGGUUAAAAUUAACACUGAUGAGGCUGCUAGGGGGUAUCCUGGUCUUCUUACUUGUGGAGGUAUUUUUCGUGGGAGUAUGGGAGAAUUUAUUGGUGCUUUUUCAACGUUUCUUGAAGUUCAGACUACUUUGGUUGUUGAGUUUUAUGGAAUUAUACAUGCUAUGAAGGAAGCUCAAAAGAUGAGACUUACUAAUGUUUGGCUUGAAUGUGAUUCUGCCUUGGUUUGUGCUGUGUUUACUAUUAGGACUAAUGUUCCGUGGAUGCUUCGUAAUCGAUGAAAUACUUGUCUUAAUUUCUGUGAGACAAUCAAGUUUAGGGUUACUCAUAUUUUUCGUGAGGGGAAUGCAUGUGCUUAUAAGUUGACUAAUUUAGGGUUCAUUCAUAGAGAAUCAUUUCAUUGGUAUAAUAGACUUUCAUCUAGUCUGUUCUCAAAAUUCUUUAUGAAUAGGUAUAGUCUACCUAUGUAUCGUUUUUGUUAACAUGUGGGUUUUGGUCUAGUCCCCCCAUAUUUUUGUAUUUUCUUUUUUUUUUCUUUUUUUUAAUAAUUUUUUUUCCCUGUAAUGGCAGAUGAUUGUUGUUACUUAAGGUGUCAGCCUAGCUGAGAUGUCAAGUUGCAUAGUGAUGCCUAACAUACAAACUUUUAUAUAAAAAAAAAGUUUUACUCCAAUUUAACGUUUUGAUAUAAUUACAAUGUUGAAUACCUUACUCUCAUAUGAAGGAUAUAAAAUUUAUCAUUUAUAUGUAAAAAAACUUGAGGAAGAAAUUUAUGUAGAGAUAUUUAAAGAGUUUCAAAAUGACAGGAGAGGGGAGGAUGUUUACUAGUUGAAAAGGAACUUAUAUAGUAUAAAAUAGACUCCAAGAACCUAGUAAAACAAGAUAAAAAAAAGGAUAAAUAGUUAUCAUUUAAAUCUUGGAUUUGUCAAAAAUCCAAGUAAAGACGUUGACAUAAUAUAUUAGAUUUCUAUGUUAUUUUUUAAAAUAAAAAUAAUCUUUACUGUACUAAUCAGAUAAAUUUAUUUUAACCAUAUUAGUUUAGUGAUCGAUACUUUUCCUUUUUUUUAAUCAUAUUAUAUUCAUACUUACAAUUCUCAAUCAAUAAUAAUAAUAAAAAAACAAUUUCGUCUAUAAUAUUUUUUUAAAUAUAUUUUUAUUAUAAAAACUUUCAUUUAGACAUUAUUAUGCAACCUGUCAAGUAAAAAUAUUUAAAAAAACAUAGUUUUACUCUUUUUAUAAUAUUUUUUUUCUAAGUUAAGAAAUACCAGUAAAAAAAUAUAACAAGUUUAUGAAAUUAACCUUAUUAUUAAUUUAUUCAUAAUUUUUUGUAGUCUUUCAUUAAUAUUAUUAAAAUAGGUUAUGAACAAAAAAGUAUAAUUAAUAUUUUAUUUAAAACUAGAAUCAUACUUAUUUUAAGAUGUUAUGUGGAGGACCAUGACUCAAUAGAUCAAUAAGCAAUGUAAAUAUGAUUGAAGAAAAUAUAAUAGAAGGAAAAAAGAAACUUCAAUAAUAGAUCAAAGUACAAAAGAAAAGAAUAAAGAAAUAUAUUAUAAGGGAGAUUCCCAAAGAAUGCUAGGAAGAUUAGAAAAAGUAAUAGAGAAAUUAGUUUUAUAAUUAUAUAAUAUUUCUUGAUUCUCUUAAAGUAUUUUACAAUAGACAUUUGAGAUGCUCACACAUAAAGAGUUUCACAUACAUAACUCAUAGUUUUAAGAAUGUCUCUAACGAAUUUGUUUUCUCUCUUCCUUAAAUCAAGAAACAACCCAUGUGCUUAAAGGCGUGAUUAAGAGUGUUAACCAUAUGAUUUAUAAGUAAACUUAGGAUUCUAAAACACAUGAUAACAGAGUCACUCUCUUUUCUAAAAUCACUUUUGAAAAUUGAAUAUGAAAUUUUUCUUGUAUGUUCAACUUUAAGAGUCUUAUAAGAGUUUUAUACUCUUAACUUCAUUUUUAUCUUGAAGAACUUCUAAACACUGAUGAACUUUUUGCACUUAUACGUUGAAAUUCAUGACAAAGAAAACAUGUUCUUAUGCAUUGGUGAGUCUCAAUUCAUUUUCUAUUUCAUUUUACAACUUAUUCUUAUUAUCCUUUCAUGUUUAUAACAUAUUGCAAGCUUUAACCAUGGAAACCAGUACUUCCGGCAUUGUUAUCUUGUUUUCGCAUGGUCUCACAUUCCUUAAAUUUUUCAAGAACUUUACAACCUUCUAAGAUUUCCAUUAUUAAUGCUACUAAAAUUAGUCAUAUGUAAUGAUGAUGAAAGAAGCAAUCUGUAAUUCCGAAAUGAUGAUGCAAUGGCUCUAAUUAGUACGGUACAAUAAUUAAUAUGGAAGUAAAGGAGUCAAGUUCACACUCAAGGAGCCAAUAACAAUGAAAUGACCAAUGAAAGGUGCUACAAGAAAGAAGAGUUAGCCAAUUCAUUUAUUCAAAACUUAUGACAUAAUAGUUGGCGCAAUUUAAUAGUAUUUGUUGGGUUCCUAUACCUAGAACAAAUUUAUUAUGGUUGGUUUGUAAUCUAAUGUUUGUUGGAUCCGGGUGAUAGGAAACUUGUUUUGGGUAUUUUUUUAUAAGGUUGAACAUCCCUAAAAUGUCUCAUUUUAUUUUAUUCAUUCUUUACUGAUAAAAAAAAAACAAAUAUUGUUUGAGAUAGAAAUGAAGUAACAUCGAGAAUGACUUCAAGUUUUUUCCAAAAUUCUAAUAUGUACUGUACUAAUCCUUACCCGAGCACAACACGAGGCAUAAUCAAUAUAAGCAAAAUAAUGAGGAAUAAAAAACACAUUAAAUCACUACAAGAAAAGUUUGAUUUAGCUUCCAAAUUUUUGCGUGGGCCAUUUGCGGACGCUACUCUCAUCGGCCAAAAUGAGUAAAAGUCCACGCAAGAUUUACAUUAGACGCAAAACGGACGCAUAUAUUGAUUUAAUUUUUUUUUUUAAUUUUUUUUUGCGUUGGCCGCGGCCACGCAUAGGCGUCGGUUUUGCGUCGACCGCGGCCCACGCAUAUGCGCCCGUUUUGCGUUGCCCACAGAACCCACGCAUAUGCGUCCGCUAUAGCCCACGCAUGUUUAGAAUUUUAAAAUUUAAAUAUUUUUAAUGUAUAAUAAAUAUUUUAAUAUUUAAUUCUUUAUUAUAUUUAUUUUAGAAUUAUUUCUUUACUGUUAUAAUAAAUUAUUUAAUUUAUCACUUUUAAAUAUAAAUUAAUUAAAUUAGAUUUAUUAAAUUAAAUAAGCGUUUGAUUUAAAAUUAAUUGAGUAAAAUAAAAUAUAUAUUUAAAUGUUAUAUAAAAUAUUUGUUUAUUUUAAAUAUUAUUUAUUUUAAAUUUAUUUUAUUUAUAUAUUGUCAUAACUAUUUUAUUUUUGAAAUUAUGAUAUAAAUUAGUUAAAUUAAAUUUAUUAAAUUGAUGAUAAUAAUAUUAAAUUUAUUAAAUAUUAUAUUAAUACUAAUAAUAUUAAUAAUAUGUAUAAUAAUAUUAAUAAUAUUAAUAAUAAUAUUAAUAAUAAUGUUACUUAUAAUGUUAAUAAUAAUGUUAAUAAUAAUGUUAAUUAUAAUGUUAAUUAUAAUAUUAAUUAUAAUUUUAAUUAUAAUAUUAAUUAUAAUGUUAAUAAUAAUAUUAAUAAUAAUGUUAAUAAUAAUAUUAAUAAUCUAUACCUAUAUAUAAAGGAGAUUCCCCUCUUAACUACCAUAUUAUUUUAUUUAAAUUUUAUUUUUAUCUUUAUAUCUUAUCUUAUUUGUUAUUUUGUGAAGAGUUUAAAUUUUAUAUCUCAAAGAGUUUAAAUUUAAAACUAAAUAUUUGUAAAGUGAGAUUUGUUCAGGAGCAUUGUCCAAUUGCAUCUUUUUCUUCUGUUCAUCUUCACUUUUAUCACAUCAAACUUUCUCCAUAUCAUUUUCACUUUUAUCCCAUCAAACUUUCUAUUUUCAUAUUCAAAUUACUAGAAGAAGUCGCACUUCCGUUCCAGAACCACGAAACCAUUCCGUAAGUAUGGUUUUCAAAUAUAAAGUAGAAGAUGAAAAUGCAAUGUCUGAUUUUACUUUUAUUUUUUAUUCAUUUAUGCAUGUCUUUGGCAUUGUAUGAUGACAAUAUUGUAAUUAUUGUGCUCACACAAAACACAAACAAAUAGAACUAUUAAAGAAAAACAAACAAAUAAAAAUCGUAGGAUUUUGUUCAUUGAAUAAAAAAUUGAAAGAUAAAAAAAAACGUACCCGAUAAAACUACGUAUGUGGAAGUGAAAAGGGUUAGUAUAUGAGAAAGGAAGGAUUAGGAAGAAAAGGGGAUGCGCAUUAGAAAGUUUCGGGAGAUGGAUAUGUUGAUUUUGGCUUAAUCCCAAGUCCCACAUCGGUGAGUUCAUUGUUUGGGAGGAGGUUUGAGGGUUAUAAAUUAAACUCUUCUCCUUCACUGUUAAAUAUCCAAAUUUGUAAUAUCUUCUCUCAUAAUAAUAAAAGUGAGUUGUUUUUGCUGUGCUCAGAGAUUAGGCUAAACAGGCCGAACUCCGUUAACAAUUUUCGGGUGUGUUUUUUCCUCUUUAUCUCUUUUAUUAUUCCGCUUUAUUUAUUCAAUAUUAUUUGUCGGGUAGCUCUGUUAGGGUUUUGUUUUAGUGGGAAAAUUACCCGUUUUUUCCAACAAGUGGUAUCAAGAGCCGAAGGUUCGCCUUGGGUUGUUUGAAAUUAUUUGUAAUAUUGAAUAUUAUAUUUUGAGUUUGUAAUGGCAAAUCAAGAAGAAGAAGCGAAGAAUGUAUCCAGAGUGUCAGGCUCCUCGUCAUCAUGGUCGAGGUUCCCAGUGUCCACUUUGAAAUUGGCGGUGGAAAUAUUUGAUGGCACUGGACAUUUUAGCAUGUGGCAAGGAGAGGUCUUGGACUCUCUUUUUCAGCAGGGUCUUGAUUUUGCUAUUGAAGGAGAGAAACCAAAAGAGGUAGAGGAGAAAGACUGGAGUAUCAUCAACCGGUUAGCAUGCGGAACUAUUCGAUCCUACCUGUCCAGAGAGCAGAAGUACGCUGUAAAAAACGUGACUUCUGCACACAAACUGUGGAAGGCAUUGGAGGACAAGUUUCUGAAGAAGAGUGGUCAGAACAAGCUCUUGAUGAAAAAAAGGUUGUUCCAAUUUGACUACCAACAAGGUACUACUAUGAAUGCACACAUCACUAUGUUUAAUCAAUUAGUAGCAUACCUGUUGAAUUUAGAUGUGAAGUUUGAGGAUGAGGAUUUGGCUUUGAUGUUGUUAUCAUCUCUUUCUGAUGAAUUUGAACAUUUGGAGACUACGCUCCUUCACGGGAAGGAGAAUGUGUCAUUAGAUGCUGUUUGUUCUGCUUUAUAUAGUCAUGAAUUAAGAAAGCAGGAUAAGAUGAGAACCAAAUCAACGACAUCAGAAGAAGCAUUGGUGAUAAGAGGUCGUCAGCAAAGCCAAACAAAGGAGAGAAGAGGGAUGUCUAAGUCUAAAGGUUGAGUCGUUGCCAAAGAUGAGUGUGCUUUCUGUCAUGAGNNNNNNNNNNNNNNNNNNNNNNNNNNNNNNNNNNNNNNNNNNNNNNNNNNNNNNNNNNNNNNNNNNNNNNNNNNNNNNNNNNNNNNNNNNNNNNNNNNNNCAAAAGUGAUGUGGAAUCAGAUAUCUCUUUAAUUGUCUCGCUUUCAGCAUCAUCGUAUCCAGAUGAGUGGAUAUUGGAUUCAGGUUGUACUUAUCAUAUGUGUCCCGUUCGAGAUUGGUUCUUUGAAUUUCAAGAACUCGAUGGCGGAGUUGUUUACAUGGGUAAUGAUAAUCCAUGUAAGACAGUCGGAAUAGGUUCAAUCAAGCUGCGGAAUCAUGAUGGAUCCACCAGAAUUUUGCGGGAUGUACGGUACGUGCCAAAGUUGAAGAAGAAUCUCAUCUCAUUGGGGGCUUUAGAAUCUAAAGGCCUAGUCGUGACAAUGUGAGAUGGAAUUCUUAAAGCAACUUUAGGAGCACUAGUGAUGUUGAAAGGCGUGAUGAAGAACAAUUUGUAUUACUAUCAAGGUAGUACAGUGGUGGGGACAGUAGCGACAGCAACUUCUAGCUCUAAGAAGGAUGCUGAGGCAGCGAAGUUGUGGCAUAUGAGGUUGGGACAUGCUGGAGAAAAAUCCUUGCAAAUUCUUACCAAGCAGGGAUUGUUGAAAGGUACGAAGGCUUGCAAACUUGAAUUUUGUGAGCAUUGUGUUCUGGGAAAACAACGAAGAGUGAAGUUUGGCACUGCAAUUCACAAUACCAAGGGUAUUCUGGAUUAUGUGCAUUCAGAUGUGUGGGGACCUGCCAAGACUCCGUCAAUCGGAGGUAGACAUUAUUUUGUCACUUUUGUGGAUGAUUUUUCCAGGAGAGUUUGGGUGUUUACUAUGAAGAACAAAAAUGAUGUGUUUGAAAUUUUCCUUAAGUGGAAAGCUGAAGUUGAAAACCAGACAGGAAGGAAGAUUAAGGUUCUCCAAAUAGACAAUGGAGGAGAAUACAAGAGUGAUCUGUUCCUGAAUGUAUGCCAAGAUUGUGGCAUAGUUCGGCACUUCACUGUUAGAAAAACACCACAACAGAAUGGGGUGUCAGAGCGUAUGAACAAGACACUUGUGGAGAAAGUUUGUUGUAUGUUGUCUAAUGCUGAGUUAGGCAGAGAGUUUUGGGCUGAGGCUGUGACAUACGCUCAACAUCUCGUCAAUCGUUUGUCAUCAUCUGCUAUAGAUGGCAAAACCCUGUUAGAGGUAUGGUCUGGAAAACCUGCAACUGAUUAUGAUUCUUUGCAUGUUUUUGGUUCUAUUGCAUAUUAUCAUGUGAUUGAAUCAAAGUUAGAUCCACGGGCAAAGAAGGCUCUUUUCAUGGGCUUUAGUCCUGGAGUGAAGGGAUACCGUUUGUGGUGUCUAGAGAAAAAGAAGACGAUUAUCAGGAGGGAUGUUACCUUUCAUGAAUCUGCCAUGUUAAAGAAGGUAAAUCCAGAAGGAGCUGAUAGUACUCCACAACAGGUGGAGUGUGUCCGGAAGCAGGUGGAGUUUGAGCCGACAGUGGUGAUCCCAACACGAAAUACCACAAGUGACUCUCCUAUGGCAGAAGAAGAGUCAGAUGAGGAAGAGGUUCCUACCCAAGAAUCUCAACAACAAUCAACGCCAAUUGCAGUUAGAAGACAGAGACGAGAUAUUCAGAAGCCUGCUCGUUUCAUGGAUAUGGUUGCCUAUGCACUUCCAGUUGUUGAUGACAUUCCAUCCACUUACCCAGAAGUCAUUCUGAGUUCAGAGAGUNNNNNNNNNNNNNNNNNNNNNNNNNNNNNNNNNNNNNNNNNNNNNNNNNNNNNNNNNNNNNNNNNNNNNNNNNNNNNNNNNNNNNNNNNNNNNNNNNNNNNNNNNNNNNNNNNNNNNNNNNNNNNNNNNNNNNNNNNNNNNNNNNNNNNNNNNNNNNNNNNNNNNNNNNNNNNNNNNNNNNNNNNNNNNNNNNNNNNNNNNNNNNNNNNNNNNNNNNNNNNNNNNNNNNCCCGGAGGCGCAAAUCUGAAGCACUGCAAAGUUUGUUUUGUUAUGUUUUGAGAAGAUUUGUAUUAGGUGGAACUUGAAAUUAAGCCAAGGUGGAGAUUUGUUGAUUUUGGCUUAAUCCCAAGUCCCACAUCGGUGAGUUCAUUGUUUGGGAGGAGGUUUGAGGGUUAUAAAUUAAACUCUCCUCCUUCACUGUUAAAUAUCCCAAUUUGUAAUAUCUUCUCUCAUAAUAAUAAAAGUGAGUUGUUUUUGCUGUGCUCGGAGAUUAGGCUAAAUAGGCCGAACUCCGUUAACAAUUUUUUUUCCUCUUUAUCUCUUUUAUUAUUCCGCUUUAUUUAUUCAAUAUUAUUUGUCGGGUAGCUCUGUUAGGGUUUUGUUUUAGUGGAAAAAUUACCCGUUUUUUCCCAACAGGAUAUACUGAACACUGAAAAACUCCAUUGUUAUUCUUCUUAUUUGAAUACAAAAUGUUAGUUUUCGUUUCUCUCUUUCCAUUUUCUCUGUUUCUGUUUAUUUUAUUUUAUCUAAUUAUGCUUUUAAUUCUGAUUUUAUUCAAGUCUUUGAUAGAAAGAUAUUUUAAUUUUUUUGUCCUCUAGAUAAAAAAUUUUUAAAAAAAUAUUAUGAUAUUUUAUAUAUUUAUUUUCACAUUUUCAAAAUAUUUUCAAAAGAUAUUUUUUAUAUACGCUUUUUUUUCAUCUAUACUAAAAUUUAAAAUUGUGAAAUUUGAAAAUUGAAUUUUUGAAAUUUAAAAUUUGAUAUUUGAAAUUUGAAAUAUAAAAUUUUAAAUUUUAAAUUCAGAAUUUUAAAUUUUAAAUUUAAAUUUUAAAAUUUAAAUAAAAUGAAAUACUAUUAAUAUAAAGAUAAAAUCAAAAAAUAAAAAAAAAAGUUAUAAAAUCAAUCCUGAUUCAAAAAAUUGUUUUAUCUCUCAACUCCUCCAUCAACUACUCUUAAUUAUUUUAUUUAAAUUUUAAAAAAUGUUUCAUAAUUAUUUAUUAACUGUAUUUUUUAAUUAUUUUGUUUAAAUUCGAAAAAGUUAUUUUGUAACUACCCUAUCAAUUAGUUUAUUUGAAUUCAAAAAAAUUGUUAUGUAACUACUCUAUCAAUUAUUUUUUAUAAAUAUUUUAUUAAAAUCUUAAGAAACUAAUAACUACUCUAUUAACUAAAAAAAAAACAAAAUAAAAUAUUGAUAUGAGAGUAAAUUAGGAAAAAAAAUUACAUAUACUUAAAAACAUUUAAGGAGAAAAAUUUCUUUAUAUAUCUAUAUCUUCUAUAUAUAAAUGGGACUCUUUAACUUUCAAUUUUUUUUUCUAUUUUAUUCUUAUAUUAAUAUUUAUUUUAUUUCAUUAAUAUUUACAUUGCGUCAUUUCUUUUUUUUUUAAACUUUUUAAAUUUUUAAAUUUUAAAUUUUCAAAAUUUUCAAACCCUAAAAUCUUUUUUAAACACUUCAAAAAUUUUAAAUGUUUAAAAUUCUUAAAUUUUUAAAUUUUAAAAAAAAUUAAAUUUUAAAAACUUUUAAAUUUUAAAUUUUCAAAAAUUUUAAAAUUUUUGAACCUAAAGCUUUUUCCGAAACACUUCAAAUUUUAAAUUUUCAAAAUUUUAAAUUUUAAAUUUUCAAAAAUUUUGAAAUUUGAAAAUUUCUUUAAAGUUUCAAAUUUUGAAAUUUCAAAAUUUUCAAAUGUUUUUAAAUUUAAAACUAAAUAAUUGAAGGGUUUAUAAACCAAUCAAACCUUUUUUUUUUCUAUUUUCAUAUUCAAAAUAUCAUAAGUCGUUUCAUUUCAAGAACUACGAAAUCAAAUUAACCAUGUUUUUCAAUGGCUUCUACAGUGUUGGCGCUCGCAAAUUCGUAAGUAUGUGUAUAAUUAUUGUUUUUUGUUUCUUAUAAUAAUUGCUAAAUCCAUUCCAUUAACAACGAUUCUCCAUUUUUUGUUUCAUCGAAACUCUCUCAAAUUGAUCUUUUGGUCUCAUUAUCUUUUCUCUCUAUUCUUUGUAUCUUUCUUCUUCCUUAAUCUCUUUUAAUUUUAUUAUAUAUAUGCGAUUUGCAAUUGGAAGAACUUGCAUGAAGAACUUGCCCGCGUUAUGGCUUGAGAUUUGCAAGCUAUUGUGGGAUGCACCAUUGCACCAGCCACCACUAUGAACAACCCAAAUCUCAUUCUUUCUCAAGGUUUUUGUGCUAAACAAGAUGACUUACUUUGUGAUUUUCAUAAAUUUCCAAAACGUGCUUAAUGAAUUGAAAGAGAUUUUCAAACUUUUCUACCCCGUGUUCAUAAAAACCCUCAUCCCAUCAUUUCAUGUUCCCAACAUAUCCCUCAUAAAAAUGUCAAAGAACUCAAACUAUCAAACAAAGUAAACGAACAAGCACAAGAUUUGCACGACACUGAAGCAUCUAAAUGCAAAAGAAGGUAAGUCAUUCAUCCAACUGAAAUUGAAAAUUCAUAGUCAACUUUUCCUAUCCAUGUUACAAAGACCAAGGUCAAAGACUCAUGGGAAUGUGGAAAAACCAUAAACCAAUGAAUGGUUACACUUUACUCCACAAGAGGACGUUUGUGUUUUCAGAAUUGAAGUGCUCCCAUUUUGCAGAAAAGAAGAGCAAAAAAGAGCAAUUACUAUGUUUUUUCAUGGUGGUCGGGUGUCAGGACAAAAAAACUUCUAAUUAAGGUAAUUGGGGUCAUUGAUGCCAUUGAAAAUGGACCGUCACAAUUUGCCUUCACAUGGUGCAAGAGUUACACGGUCAAAAAGAUCGAUACUUUUAGGAGUCUGUGGUGUAAAGAAACUCAACAAAGCAUCAACAUGAUUCUUUUGGGCAUUUCUUUUAUCAUUAAAGGGGUUAUGCCUUUGGUCUCCUUUGGAGAAUUGUGUGUUCCUACAUAUUUUGAGAUUAUUAUUUUGUAAUCACCUGGUGAUGAGUGUGCAUCUUUCCAUUGGAAAACAUGGGGAAUGUGAGAAGACUAAACUUUUGGUUUAAGGGAACUCCAUUAUAAAACUUUGAUUCAUGUUAGCAAUGAGAAUGGAAGUAAUAAAAUUAACAAAGUAAUGUUAAAGGAAAGAGAGUGAGAAAGGUAAAUGAUGUUUGCUCUCAAGGUAUAAGAGCAAGUACUAUACACUAAUAUUGUUUUGUAUUUUUUUUUUCACUUUUACUAAUAAUAUAAGUGUGAUGUGUAAAUAAUAAUAUUGUUUAUUCAAUUUUACUAUUAAACAUAAUUAUAUAAAAAUAAAAAAUGCGGAUACACAGGCACAUGAGUGCCUGUGUUCCCGCUAGUAAUAUUAAUAAUAAUGUUAAUAAUAAUAUUAAUAAUAAUGUUAAUAAUAAUUUAAUAAUAAUGUUAAUAAUAAUUUAAUAAUAAUGUUAAUAAUAAUUUAAUAAUAUGAGUAUAAUUUAUUUUAUUAUUAUUAAUAAUAAUUAUAUUAAUAUGUAUAAAUUAUAUUAAUAAUAAGUAUAAUAAAAAUGAUAAUAUGACCAAAGAAUUUGGCUGGUCUAGUGGUUAAUGCAAAAUCAAUAUAAACAAAACAAUAAUAAAAUAUAAACUAAUUUUAAACUAAUUACUACAAGAAAAUCAUGAAAUAUAAACUAAUUUUAGAAACCAUUUAACAAUAAUAAAAACUAAUUUAGAAACCAAAAUUUUUUUUAGUCUUUAAAAUGGUUUCUAAUUUAGUCACUAUAGCAACUAAGUAUUUUUUGUCUCUAAAAUUAGUUUCUAUUUCAUGAUUUUCUUUUAGUGAAUAGGAACUUUAAAAAGUGUUACGUGGCAUGUUUUCAUUGGUCCACAGGUAAUGUGUUGAUUGGUGCACAUUUUAUUAUUUUGGGUAUUAAAUAUUUUAAUUUUUUGACAAAAAAACCUUGUAUUAUUUAUAGAAAUAGAUAUUGUAUUAUUUGUAGAUAUAGAUUUUGAUCUAUAAUUCUAUUUGGUCUGAAUAGUCAUCAAAUCUUAAUAUAAUUCAAAUCUUAAUUUGUUAUAUGAUUCAAAUGAGAUUUGUUUGAGUUAGAUAAGAUAAAUAAUGAAUGCAUGGAGAAGAGAGUGAGAGAACUAGAUAAGAUUUAGAGUAUAUAAAUUACAAGAAAAUCAUGAAAUAAAAACUAAUUUUUAGUGACAAAAAAUAAUUAGUUGCUAUAAUGACUAAAUUAUAGACCAUUUUAGAGACUAAAAAAAUUUUGGUUUCUAAAUUAGUUUCUAUUAUUGUUAAAUGGUUUCUAAAUUGGUAUCUAAUUAACAACUAAGGUUUUUGCUACCAAAUUUAGAAACUAAAUAAUUGGUAUUUAAAACAUUAGUUGCUAAUUAGAUACCAAUUUAGAAAUCAUUUAACAAUAAUAGAAACCAAUUUUUGUUUUUAGUUUCUAAAAUGGUUUCUAAUUUAGUUAGUGUAUCAACUAUUUUUUUUUCUUUCUAAAAUUGGUUUCUAUUUUAUGUUUUUCUCGUAGUGAUAUCAGUGGAAUGUUUGCCUCUGCUAUGAAAUAUGUACUUUGAUAUUGUGAUUAUUUAAAUAUUAUAUAUAAUAUAAAUAUAUUCAUUGUCUAUAAAAUAAAUAUUUAUUUUAUGAGUUUUUAUUUUCUUAUCUACAAAUAUAUUAAAAAUAAAAUGUUCGGUGCAAUACAUGACAGUAACACACAUUUGACGCUGCAAACGUGGCAAUGACGUGACAGAGUGAGAUUGUGUGCGAAUGAGCAACGCGAGCUUCAAAAUAGAGUAAAAAAAGAAUAUACUACAUCGGUUCUUAGUAACAACCGGUGUAAUAUAUAUAUAUAUAUAUAUAUAUAUAUAUAUAUAUUUUAUUUUAUUUUAUUUUACUCAAAAUGACCCAUAUUACAUUGGUUAAGUCAUCUAACUGAUGUAAUAUAUGGCUCAUAUUAAAAAAAUGAUUUUUUUCAUAAAGAGUGGGUAAGUCAUAAACGUCACAUAGGUAACCACUUAGAAGCACACGGGUAACCAGUUUUGCGUGUGCCAGUAUAUGUGGAGGAACUUGUGGCUGGGUAGCCAGUUCUAGUAAAGUUAUUACAUCGGUUAAGUCAUCUAACUGAUGUAAUAUAUGAUUUUUACAUUGGUUAAGUCAUCUAACCGAUGUAAUAUAUGAUUUUUACAUUGGUUAAGUCAUCUAAUCGAUGUAGUAUAUGAUUUUUAUUAAAAAAAAUGAUUUUUUUUCAUGAAUACUGGGUGGCCAUAAACGUCACAUAAGUAACCACUUACAGACACCCGAGUAACCAGUUUUGCGUGUGUCAGUAUAUGUGGAGGAACCUGUGACUAGGUAACCAGUUCUGGUAGGGGUUAUUACACCGGUUAAGCCAUCUAGCCGAUGUAAUAUAUGCUUCUUAUUAAAAAAAUUGAAUUUUUUUCAUGAAGAGUCGGUGGUCAUAAGCGUCACAUAAGUAACCACUUACACACAGGGGUAACCAGUUUUGCGUGUCUCACAUAAGUAACUACUUAAAGACACACGGAUAACCAAUUUUACAGAUCAUAUAUUAUAAUAUAAAGUCAGUGUUACAUCCUCACCAAAUGUCAUGUUUGCUGCGUCAAUUAAUAUCACGAAAACGGUAUAAGUAUGUGUUUGUGGCAUAAAGGAAGUUAAGAAAAACAUUUUUCAUACAUUUAUUGGAGCGAGAGAAAACUUUCUAAAAAUCCUGUUACAAAUUAUAUGAAGUUUUGAUAUUUUUAAUUUAUCUCAUAACGCAAGGUUAAUUUUUUAAGUUGUUUUCACUAAAUAAUUGUUUUUAAAACUAUUUUAGUAUAAUUAAAUGAAUGCAUAAAAUAAGUACGACGUACAUACAGAGAAUAUGUUAUUUCAGUACAAAUGUAUUAAAAAAUAUACUUACCUAUGAGAGAGAGCUUUUUUUUAUCAGCAAAUAUUAUAAUUCACUUUAGGAUAAAAAUAAUGAUACAAGACGUUUAUUAUAUCAUAAAUUUAUUUUUAUUUUUACACUUGUAUCAUUAUUGAUGUUCAUAGAAAGGCAAACAUGAUGCAUCCAUAAUUACCGAAUCUGGAAAUGGUUAAGUGCAGGAAGGAAGAGGAGAACCACACAAGCACUUGUUGUUGGCAUAAGAAGAAACGUCAAACCUUUUCAAGUUCCCACCUUGAGGAAUCUCACCGCACAGAUUGUUGAAGCUCACAUUUAAACUUUGCAGAAACUUUAGCUGCGUUAGUCCCUGAGGUAGCGUCCCAUAGAUACGGUUGUUCCUCAGAUCCAACCCGUUCAAGUUCUUUGACAACCCCACUUUCCCCAAAUCAAAAGCAAGAGAGUUCUUCGCCAGAUGUAUCUUCUUCGUGUUCUUAUCUGACCCGAACAACACCGACGCGUCACCCUCCAGCAUGUUCCGAGACAAGUCAACGAACGCCAG
This 28590-nucleotide long non-coding RNA is filed under the name Phaseolus vulgaris (common bean). RNAcentral's name for it is "long non-coding RNA (PVUL_LNC004612)". The record is from RNAcentral. Lineage: Eukaryota; Viridiplantae; Streptophyta; Magnoliopsida; Fabales; Fabaceae.